UUAAAACGGCCCAAGACCUAAAAAGUAGAAACGGAAGAAAAAUCUAGAAACAAUAAAGAAAACAAAAAGAAAAAUGCCUAGUCAGAUCAUCAAAAAUCGGCACCCAUUUCCCCAUUAACCAUAAUUUCCUCCACUAGUUCCAGUUCACUGAGAAGACCAGUGCACACUUCUCAUUAUUGAGACCGUUCUUCUCCUCCACAAAUCACUCCUCCACAAGACGCGAUUCAAUCGGGUUCCCUAGCCCACCUAUCUCCAUCCGCCGGAGAGCAUAAACUGGAAUACUUCCUACCAAGUCAAGAUAAGUCGAGAUUGGGAUUAGAUCGGGGAAAAAGAAAAGUGGACGAAUAGUCGAUAAUUUUCAUCCGAGCAACUCGAGACGGGAUUUAGCUCGGACGAGUAAUCUCAUUGACCUUGUUAUAGAAAGGAUUUAACCUGGAUAGCUCGUGAAGGUUGGAAAAUCAUUGGAUCAUCGCCACACUAUCAACUAGUCAUUUUGGCAUAAUGACAUGUAUAAGACAACUUGGCCAAUAGUGGCUUGAAAUGUUAUUUUGUAACCUAGCCAUUGGAAUGGCUAGUAAUGGUUCAUUUGGGUAUGACUAAGUAGAUUAUUAUGAUAUAUAUAUACACGUGUUAUUUUAAGAA
Molecule: long non-coding RNA, 642 nt
Organism: Gossypium arboreum
Lineage: Eukaryota; Viridiplantae; Streptophyta; Magnoliopsida; Malvales; Malvaceae
Exons: 4
Source: RefSeq, a predicted model, not a curated record